This 1437-nucleotide long non-coding RNA is filed under the name Mustela putorius furo (domestic ferret). RNAcentral's name for it is "lncRNA (ENSMPUG00000024282.1)". Lineage: Eukaryota; Metazoa; Chordata; Mammalia; Carnivora; Mustelidae. The record is from RNAcentral.
CAUGCAAGUUCUGCUCUUACAUUUGAUGCUGCAGGAAAGUUUUCACUCUUUUACUCUGACUUCCUAGGCCUGUGGAAUGAAGGUGGCUCAAGAUGAGUGAGAUGGAAAUGUGCGUGGAGACAGGGACUGUGCUAAUCUGUCUAGAGUGGAGAGCUCUUAAAAGCAAAUGUUGGGAGAUGCUGAAACAUAUCCGAUUAAAAACAAAGGAGAAAAGUAAUGUCCUGGAGGCAAACCAGAGCACCAAAGGACUUGGCUGCCAGAAUUCUAGGGAAAGAGAGGUGACUUUUGAGAGAAGAAGAAAGGAUUUUGGAAGAACAAGAGUGAUGGACCAUUCUGACUUGAGGGUUUUGGAAAAUGUCACGUAGUUUACUAAAAUGAAAAGUGACUAGUUAGGCCGGAAGAACUUUGGAGAUCAUAGUGGUGCGCGGACAAGCAGAAAGGCAAGUCCACCAAGCCCAGUGAUGAAUUUGAAGUGUGUCAGGUCAGGAAGACAAAGGGAGGAUUUCUAUAGGUAGCACACCCAUUAUUUACCUUGUUUGUUGAUAUAGGUGCAUUUUAAUGCAGUUUUUACUUAAUAAUUAUGAGCACCUCCCCCCUUUUCUUUUCAGAUGGGGAAUAAUUGCCAUUUAGCCUUUUAUAGGUCAAUUAGUAGGAGAAUAGGGAACGACAGACCAAUUCUUGAAAUUGUAAUGACUAGACUUCCCUUCAGAUGAUGGUUUCCUUGUUGUCAUUUUUAUGAUUGUUUCUACUCGCUCAGCAAACUAUUGGGGAGAUGGCAUUUUAAGUGGAUGUAUGAUGUGGCUGGAAAGAGAGCUAUGCAUUCUCAUCACUUCCCACCUUCCUAAGCAUCACAAUGUAAGUCUUUGCCAGAUGCAAGCGGAAAGGAAGGAGCCACGCGGACAUUCUCCUCCUGGCCUUGGACAAUGCUGACAGCACACAUCAGCCACUCAGCACUUUUCCAAGUAGCAGCCGAUGAUGCCCGGCUCCUCAACUUUAACCCGGGAGAAGGAGGUCAACAUAGGAAAGAAAAGCAUGUCAGGGAUCGUGCUGGUGGUCUGCUGGGCAAGACCGCAGUCUGCCGGGAUGGCCGUCUUCUGAGAUUUCCUUCAGCUCACUGUCAGCACCCUCUCUGGGAGCAGUAAGGCAAGUGCUUAUCUGACAAGGAAUAAACUACGUGUAGAGUCAUCACUGCAAGCUAACAGAAAGAAAAUCGUUUUUAUCUCAGAGAAUUGGAAGAAAUCACAGUAAUUAACAUGUUUGAGGAUUUACUCUUAGAAACCAUGCUUAGUGUCUUACAUAAAUUGUCUCAUUUAAUUCUUAAAAUAAUCAGAGCCACACCUCAUUUGUCUCUCAAGAUUAGCUUUUUCCUUUAGUGGACAUUGUGAUUAAAAUACCACUUACUUAAAGUUACAUUUUUGUCUCUGAUCUAUACUUUAU